CGAUGAUGUUAAGCGUCAUAUAAAGAGGAAUGACUCUUUACACGAGAAAUUUUAUCCUUAAAAUAUCAAGAGGGGCCCAAUUGAUAUAAUUUUUCUAGUGUUUAAGACGGCUAGAUUGCUCGAAACCCGAAAGCUGGUUUCUUUCGUCUUGAAUGCCUAGUUAUUGCAGUGAUUGAUCGAGUAUGCAGGACACAGGAUGGCUGAAAUCUGUCACAAACAUGCCAAUCCUAAUCAAGGGGGUUCUUACUCGUGAAGUGCAAGAACGGCCGUGGAAGUAGGAGUUGCUGGGGUGGUUGUCUCGAACCAUGGAGGCCGCCAACUCGAUAACACUCCUUCCAAUAUUUCUGUCCUGGAAGAGGUGCAAUCUGUCUGCUGCUACUUCAUCAUUUCUUUUUAUCCUGUGACGAAUUCAAUUGGAAAGUUGUAUGAUAAAGUGUUCAGGUGGUUCGUGCUGUUGUAGGAAAAGUUCCUCUUCUUUUCGAUGGAGGAGUACACCGAGGGACAGACGUUCAAGGAGUUAGCUCUCGGUGCACAAGCUGUUCUUGUAAGAAUCAUAUCCACCACCACUUUAACUCUUAAAACUUGGUCUAUUUUGGUUGUGCCUGGACUUGUUCUCAAUGUCGGUGCAGGUUGGAAGGCCGAGUGAGGCGGCGGGUGAUCGAAAUGCUGAAGGAUGAGUUUGAGCUGAUAUUGGCCCUUUCUGGCUGUCUAGUGUCAAGGAUAUUACCAGGAGCCAUGUGAGAACACAAGAGUGAACAUAAACUCCACUCCAUGCUUCAGUUAUCUAACUUUUGGGGCAAAAUGCAAAUUUUAAACUAGCCAUUGUAAUUCAAGUUGUUUUCUCACGAGAAGGGUGAUUCGAACUUGGUGCAAGAAAUUGAAAUGAUUUUUUGCACAGGUGAUCUUUGAUGAUAAUAAAAAUUUUGAGUGGUUAAGAUUA
Non-coding RNA from Malus domestica (apple), 940 nucleotides. NCBI's taxonomy places the organism in Eukaryota, Viridiplantae, Streptophyta, Magnoliopsida, Rosales, Rosaceae. The record is from RefSeq and is a predicted model, not a curated record.